Molecule: long non-coding RNA, 1906 nt
Organism: Amphiprion ocellaris (clown anemonefish)
Lineage: Eukaryota; Metazoa; Chordata; Actinopteri; Pomacentridae
Source: Ensembl
GACAACUUUUCCGCCCUCGUAGAAUACAAAUCAUUGCCAUCUACAAUUUACCAAACAGGUUAACAUAACAAACCUUGAUUUUUCUACUACCAAUGUGCCCCUAGAACUGGAGGUAGCUCCAGUUACUACUGUUUGUUUUGGCGUAUUCUGAGUUAACGCUGCAGUUAAAGUUUUUGGAUCUUACAACACGGCGGAACCAGAAAGGCUGAAAGGGCAGAUUAGGUGGCAGUUCCUCUACUUGACACCUUCCACAAAUUCCUGCAGGGGAAAGAUGCCGAUGCAGAGUUCAGAAGUCUUGCAUCCCAGAAAAGGAACCUCUUACAUAUGCUCAAGUUCCACUGAAAGAAUUUGGAUGAACUGUGAACCGAUAGAUUUUCGUUGAUAUAUUUAAUCUAUUAAAAUAUAUUAACCAAUAAAGCAGAGAAAGAAGGAUAUUGAGAAGUUGUAGUACCUGGUUGCAACACCAGCUGGGGCCUCAUACUGUUUAAUGCUGCAGUGACCCGAGAAGGCAGUCACUAGUACUACCAGCAGUUCCAUGGUGGUACCAUUGAGCAUUGUGGGAAUCUAGCCAUCAUGAGAAAGUUACCUGUGAUGGUUAAUGCCUACCAGCCAACAUUCACAUGUUGUUGGAAGGCUAAAGUGCACUACGACAAAGUCAUCAUGGGAUAGUGGCAGAUGGUCUAUGCCGGCAGAGCAGCUAAUGCCACAGACAUAACUGUAUUCAGAGCAGUUUGAUCAGAACAAGGACUGAUGUCAACAGAGUCAAUUUCGUGUUCUUCAAAUGCUGUAUCCCUAGCAUGAAUCUUUGUUCUAACCUCUUGUAGGGGGGUGUUCAGAGAAAAAAUACUCCGAGCCAUUGUUUUGGCACAUUCGAAGUUAAAGUCUCAGUUGAAGCAUCAUAUUCUAUACCACAGUGGAAACAGAAAGGUCGAUGCCAAUUACAGUUCCAGUCCUGUAAACACUGGUGUCUGCCCUGAGUUCCUGCAGUAGAAAGCUACCUAUAGCUUCGUAGUCUGGCUCUAGUCAGGGUUUUUUCUGGCAUCCCCAAAAGUCCACUGAGCCAGGAACAACCCUGGUUCCAGUACCUUUUUCCAGAGAGCAGCAGGUGAAACAGUCCAUGAUGGUGAUGAGAGAAGUCUGUGAUAAUCCCUGAGGCUUUCCUUAAGCAGUGUUGGUACAGGUACAAGUACAGGCAAGGUUCCCACGAUUCUCUGUAUCGUCUUGAAUGAGGCGCUGCAGCUUUCAUAUAAUACUCUCCAUGACACCUCUUUAGAGACAGGAAGGAGAAGGAAGGAAUUGCAAGCACUACUGUGCUUUCUUCAGUAGCAAAGAGUAAAUGGUAUACGCCCCAAAGAAUUUGGUGCUUCCACAGACGUGCCGUCAAGCUGAAGAGAGGCACAUGUUUAGAUCUCUUAUUUGGUCGACAUUUGGUUGCACCAGACCAGAAGUUGGCGCAUUUAUUUUUCAUUGCUGAUCAGAGCCACCACUGUUGUGUUGUUCACAUGCAACACACAUUUGUGUUUCAUUGUGGUUAACGGCAAUGGACUGAGGACACAGAAUGGACAUGGAGUCCCAGUGAGCCCAGUUUAGAUGUCCAUGUUUGAUCAUGAAGUUUGAGUGUUUUAAUCCUUUGUAUUUUUAUACGACGAUGUGUGAGACCAGACCGAGAUACCGGAGGGUGAAUGUUUGAAGAGUAGUGACUACUGAUUACAAACUUGAUGCUUAGAGUUGAAGAAAGGAGGUCAUAGCCAUACAUUCAGGUCCGAUCUGUAGGUUAGCAAGGAUGCUAACAGUUCUUACUGUGCAAUAGAAAUUCUUACAGUGAAAAUGUGUCCUGUAAAGCACUCUAUGUUCAUGUUAACCAAUCAUGUUUUGUGUUGCCUUACCAAUAAAGUUUUUGAACAAA